Molecule: ribosomal RNA, 327 nt
Filed under: Pseudo-nitzschia multiseries
Lineage: Eukaryota; Bacillariophyta; Bacillariophyceae; Bacillariales; Bacillariaceae
Description: LSU rRNA
Rfam family: Eukaryotic large subunit ribosomal RNA
Source: RNAcentral
AGAGGGUGACACUCCCGUCCGCCUGGCAGAGUGAGUCAUUUGUCAACGAGUCGAGUUGUUUGGGAUUUGCAGCUCUAAUUUGGUGGUAAAUUCCAGUCUAAAGCUAAAUAUUGGUGGGAGACCGAUAGCGUACAAGUACCGUGAGGGAAAGAUGCAAAAGAACUUUGAAAAGAGAGUUAAAGAGUACCUGAAGCUGCUGAAACGGAAGCGAAGGAAACCAGUGUUUGUUUGUUCAUAUUUCCCUAGCCACUUGUGGCUUGAGCGCUGUGGGCUUGCGUGGAGUUUGGGUUGGUUGGAUUCCUUUGGAAGAGCGCAGUCAGAGUUGAU